This 253-nucleotide ribosomal RNA is filed under the name uncultured bacterium. RNAcentral's name for it is "partial 16S ribosomal RNA". It matches the Rfam family "Bacterial small subunit ribosomal RNA", at positions 524 to 776 of the family's 1533-position model. The record is from RNAcentral.
UACAGAGGUCUCAAGCGUUGUUCGGAUUCAUUGGGCGUAAAGGGUGCGUAGGCGGCGCGGUAAGUCGGGUGUGAAAUCUUGGAGCUUAACUCCGAAACUGCAUUCGAUACUGCCGUGCUUGAGGACUGGAGAGGAGACUGGAAUUUACGGUGUAGCGGUGAAAUGCGUAGAUAUCAGGAGGAACACCGGUGGCGAAGGCGGCUCUCUGGACCUGUCCUGACGCUCAGGCGCGAAAGCUAGGGGAGCGAACAGG